AUUGAACGCUGGCGGCAGGCCUAACACAUGCCAGUCGAACGAGUGGCGGAUGGGUGUGGAAUGUCUGGGAAACUGCCUGAUGGCGCGGGAUAACUACUGGAAACGGUAGCUAAUACCUCAUACUAUUCGUCGUGCCCAGAUGGGAUUAGCUAGUAGGGGGGGUAAAGGCUCACCCAGGCGACGCUCCCUAGCUGGUCUGAGAGGAUUACCAGCCACACGGGAACUGAGACACGGUCCAGAGUCCUACGGGGGGCAGCAGUGGGGAAUAUUGCACAGGGGGCGCAAGCCUGAUGCAGCCAUACCGCGUGUAUGAAGAAGGCCUUCGGGUUGUAAAGUACUUUCAGCGGGGAGGCGUUACCCGCAGAAGAAGCACCGGCUAACUCCGUGCCAGCAGCGCGGUAAUAC
This 405-nucleotide ribosomal RNA is filed under the name uncultured bacterium. RNAcentral describes it as "partial 16S ribosomal RNA". It matches the Rfam family "Bacterial small subunit ribosomal RNA", at positions 30 to 526 of the family's 1533-position model. The record is from RNAcentral.